This 253-nucleotide ribosomal RNA is filed under the name uncultured bacterium. Its description in RNAcentral is "partial 16S ribosomal RNA". It matches the Rfam family "Bacterial small subunit ribosomal RNA", at positions 524 to 776 of the family's 1533-position model. The record is from RNAcentral.
UACGGGGGGGGCAAGCGUUGUUCGGAAUUACUGGGCGUAAAGGGCUCGUAGGUGGCCAACUAAGUCAGACGUGAAAUCCCUCGGCUUAACCGGGGAACUGCGUCUGAUACUGGAUGGCUCGAGGUUGGGAGAGGGACGCGGAAUUCCAGGUGUAGCGGUGAAAUGCGUAGAUAUCUGGAGGAACACCGGUGGCGAAGGCGGCGUCCUGGACCAAUUCUGACACUGAGGAGCGAAAGCCAGGGGAGCAAACGGG